GGUAACCUGCCCUAUACACAUGGAUAACAUGCUGAAAAGCAUACUAAUACAUGAUAACGUACACUGAUGGCAUCUUCGGUGUAUCAAAGCGUUAGCGGUAUAGGAUGGACCCGCGUCUGAUUAGCUAGUUGGUGGGGUAAAAGCCUACCAAGGCCACGAUCAGUAGCCGACCUGAGAGGGUGAUCGGCCACAUUGGAACUGAGACACGGUCCAAACUCCUACGGGAGGCAGCAGUGGGGAAUAUUGGGCAAUGGACGCAAGUCUGACCCAGCAACGCCGCGUGAACGAUGAAGGUCUUCGGAUCGUAAAGUUCUGUCGCAGGGGAAGAUAAUGACGGUACCCUGUGAGGAAGCACCGGCUAACUAC
This 366-nucleotide ribosomal RNA is filed under the name uncultured bacterium. RNAcentral describes it as "bacterial SSU rRNA". It matches the Rfam family "Bacterial small subunit ribosomal RNA", at positions 120 to 504 of the family's 1533-position model. The record is from RNAcentral.